This 103-nucleotide non-coding RNA is filed under the name Salisediminibacterium beveridgei. Its description in RNAcentral is "Bacillus beveridgei TPP sequence". It matches the Rfam family "TPP riboswitch aptamer (THI element)". Rfam says of the family: Vitamin B(1) in its active form thiamin pyrophosphate (TPP) is an essential coenzyme that is synthesised by coupling of pyrimidine and thiazole moieties in bacteria. Lineage: Bacteria; Bacillati; Bacillota; Bacilli; Caryophanales; Bacillaceae. The record is from Rfam by way of RNAcentral.
CAUAACCACUAGGGGUGCUCGAUACAGAGCUGAGACGGCGUUGCCGGUCCCUUUGAACCUGAUCUGGGUGAGACCAGCGUAGGAAAUGUGGGUGAAUGCAUAC